Molecule: ribosomal RNA, 253 nt
Filed under: uncultured bacterium
Lineage: Bacteria
Description: partial 16S ribosomal RNA
Rfam family: Bacterial small subunit ribosomal RNA
Source: RNAcentral
UACAGAGGUGGCAAGCGUUGUUCGGAAUCAUUGGGCUUAAAGCGUGUGUAGGCGGAACAGAAAGUGUUUCGUGAAAUCCCCCGUCUCAACCGGGGAAUUGCUUGGCAAACUACUGUUCUUGAGGCAGGCAUGGGUGCUUGGAACUCUUGGUGGAGCGGUGAAAUGCGUAGAUAUCAAGAGGAACGCCUGUGGUGAAAACGGAGCACUGGGCCUGUACUGACGCUGAGACACGAAAGCGUGGGGAGCGAACGGG